CCUACGGGAGGCAGCAGUGGGGAAUAUUGCACAAUGGGGGAAACCCUGAUGCAGCGACGCCGCGUGAAGGAAGAAGGUUUUCGGAUCGUAAACUUCUAUCAGCAGGGAAGAAGGAAGUGACAGUACCUGACUAAGAAGCCCCGGCUAACUACGUGCCAGCAGCCGCGGUAAUACGUAGGGGGCAAGCGUUAUCCGGAAUCACUGGGUGUAAAGGGUGCGUAGGCGGUAGGGCAAGUCAGAUGUGAAAGUCCGGGGCUUAACCCCGGAUCUGCGGUGGGUACGGGCAGACUAGAGUGCAGUAGGGGAGACUGGAAUUCCUGGUGUAGCGGUGGAAUGCGCAGAUAUCAGGAGGAACACCGAUGGCGAAGGCGACUCUCUGGACUGUAACUGACGCUGAGGCACGAAAGCGUGGGGAGCGAACAGGAUUAGAUACCCGGGUAGUC
This 443-nucleotide ribosomal RNA is filed under the name uncultured bacterium. Its description in RNAcentral is "bacterial SSU rRNA". It matches the Rfam family "Bacterial small subunit ribosomal RNA", at positions 338 to 795 of the family's 1533-position model. The record is from RNAcentral.